This 72-nucleotide transfer RNA is filed under the name Thalassobacillus devorans. Its description in RNAcentral is "tRNA-Gln". It matches the Rfam family "tRNA". From Rfam's summary of the family: Transfer RNA (tRNA) molecules are approximately 80 nucleotides in length. Their secondary structure includes four short double-helical elements and three loops (D, anti-codon, and T loops). Further hydrogen bonds mediate the characteristic L-shaped molecular structure. tRNAs have two regions of fundamental functional importance: the anti-codon, which is responsible for specific mRNA codon recognition, and the 3' end, to which the tRNAs corresponding amino acid is attached (by aminoacyl-tRNA synthetases). tRNAs cope with the degeneracy of the genetic code in two manners: having more than one tRNA (with a specific anti-codon) for a particular amino acid; and 'wobble' base-pairing, i.e. permitting non-standard base-pairing at the 3rd anti-codon position. Lineage: Bacteria; Bacillati; Bacillota; Bacilli; Caryophanales; Bacillaceae. RNAcentral also lists the same sequence under 1 other name. The record is from RNAcentral.
UGGGCUAUAGCCAAGUGGUAAGGCAGCGGAUUUUGAUUCCGUCAUUCGUUGGUUCGAAUCCAGCUAGCCCAG